AGCUGCAAAAUCCUAGGUGCUGGCAAUGAUGUUUUCCAGGGGUACCUGGUUUUACAUGGUGCCAUCCAGGAGUGCGAUGCUGUAGCUGGCAGAAAUGACAUUCGCAAUGGGAGAUAAGAGACCAGACUUCCUUAAAGCUUUCAACAUUCACAAACUCAUCUAAUUGUUCAGGACAUACUGAGUAUCUGCACUUACAGAAAUCAAGCUCAGGUGGAACUCCCUUGAAAGCAAGGCACCGGGAAGCCAAGAUGGGUUUUCAGAAACUUCUACACCCCGUAUUGCCCUUCCCUCCCCUGCUGCUACCAGCCCAGGGGAUGAGUCCACCCCAAAAAGGCCAACGUAGCCCUGGAAGUGGAGAGCUACUCAAUGCAGACAGCCCAGCCAGUGGUGCCUUCCUACUGAUAGGACCGAAUCCCAGCACGGAGCCAUCGCCACAGGCAGGAGGAUGACAAACAGGAGGCACAACAGGUACAAGGCAGAAAUCCGUCUUAAAUUCACUUGACUCGUCAGCUGUUUUAUGGGCCUUGUUGUCGCUGCUCGCACACUUGUAUUCUGCUGGUGUCAGUACAGCAACUUCACUGAAGUCCUCCUGUGUAAGAGCACUUCAGGCCCUCCAGAC
Molecule: long non-coding RNA, 619 nt
Filed under: Coturnix japonica (Japanese quail)
Lineage: Eukaryota; Metazoa; Chordata; Aves; Galliformes; Phasianidae
Description: lncRNA (ENSCJPG00005016402.1)
Source: RNAcentral